Molecule: ribosomal RNA, 407 nt
Filed under: uncultured bacterium
Lineage: Bacteria
Description: partial 16S ribosomal RNA
Rfam family: Bacterial small subunit ribosomal RNA
Source: RNAcentral
AUUGAACGCUGGCGGCAGGCCUAACACAUGCAAGUCGAGCGGAGCGGGGGACGGGUGAGGAAUACCUAGGUAUCUGACUGUGAGUGGGGGAGAACGUUCGGAACUGGGCGCUAAUGCCAAUUACUCUCAGAAGAGGAUCGUUCGGAUUAGCUAGUUGGUGGGGUAAAGGCAUACCAAGGCGACGAGCCGUAACUGGUCUGAGAGGAUGAGCAGUCACACUGGAACUGAGACACGGUCCAGACUCCUACGGGAGGCAGCAGUGGGGAAUAUUGGACAAUGGGCGAAAGCCUGAUCCAGCCAUGCCGCGUGUGUGAUGAAGGUCUUCGGAUUGUAAAGCACUUUAAGUUGGGAGGCGUUACCAACAGAAUAAGCACCGGCUAACUUCGUGCCAGCAGCCGCGGUAAUAC